UAGGGAAUCUUCCACAAUGGACGCAAGUCUGAUGGAGCAACGCCGCGUGAGUGAAGAAGGUUUUCGGAUCGUAAAGCUCUGUUGUUGGUGAAGAAGGAUAGAGGCAGUAACUGGUCUUUAUUUGACGGUAAUCAACCAGAAAGUCACGGCUAACUACGUGCCAGCAGCCGCGGUAAUACGUAGGUGGCAAGCGUUGUCCGGAUUUAUUGGGCGUAAAGCGAGCGCAGGCGGAAUGAUAAGUCUGAUGUGAAAGCCCACGGCUCAACCGUGGAACUGCAUCGGAAACUGUCAUUCUUGAGUGCAGAAGAGGAGAGUGGAACUCCAUGUGUAGCGGUGGAAUGCGUAGAUAUAUGGAAGAACACCAGUGGCGAAGGCGGCUCUCUGGUCUGCAACUGACGCUGAGGCCCGAAAGCAUGGGUAGCGAACAGGAUUAGAUACCCUGGUAGUCCAUGCCGUAAACGAUGAGCGCUAGGUGUUGGGGACUUUCCGGUCCUCAGUGCCGCAGCAAACGCAUUAAGCGCU
RNAcentral lists this ribosomal RNA (522 nucleotides) under uncultured bacterium. RNAcentral's name for it is "partial 16S ribosomal RNA". It matches the Rfam family "Bacterial small subunit ribosomal RNA", at positions 355 to 868 of the family's 1533-position model. The record is from RNAcentral.